Molecule: ribosomal RNA, 469 nt
Filed under: uncultured Anoxybacillus sp.
Lineage: Bacteria; Bacillati; Bacillota; Bacilli; Caryophanales; Anoxybacillaceae
Description: bacterial SSU rRNA
Rfam family: Bacterial small subunit ribosomal RNA
Source: RNAcentral
UUGACGGGGCCCGCACAAGCGGUGGAGCAUGUGGUUUAAUUCGAAGCAACACGAAGAACCUUACCAGGUCUUGACAUCCCUGACAACCCGAGAGAUCGGGCGUCCCUUCGGGGGACAGGGCGACAGGUGGUGCAUGGUUGUCGUCAGCUCGUGUCGUGAGAUGUUGGGUUAAGUCCCGCAACGAGCGCAACCCUCGACCUUAGUUGCCAGCAUUCAGUUGGGCACUCUAAGGUGACUGCCGGGCUAAAAGUCGGAGGAAGUGGGGAUGACGUCAAAUCAUCAUGCCCCUUAUGACCUGGGCUACACACGUGCUACAAUGGGCGGUACAAAGGGUCGCGAACCCGCGAGGGGGAGCCAAUCCCAAAAAGCCGCUCUCAGUUCGGAUUGCAGGCUGCAACUCGCCUGCAUGAAGCCGGAAUCGCUAGUAAUCGCGGAUCAGCAUGCCGCAGUGAAUACGUUCCCGGGCCUU